This 279-nucleotide ribosomal RNA is filed under the name Acinetobacter baumannii. Its description in RNAcentral is "partial 16S ribosomal RNA". It matches the Rfam family "Bacterial small subunit ribosomal RNA", at positions 674 to 812 of the family's 1533-position model. The record is from RNAcentral. Lineage: Bacteria; Pseudomonadati; Pseudomonadota; Gammaproteobacteria; Moraxellales; Moraxellaceae.
UUUCUAGCGCUUUACUUUUAUGCUUACCCGCAAUUACACGCAUUGACUCACACUUCCAUUUCAUUCAUUUAUUUAAUAUAAUUUGAAGAUAAAGGAGUUUGAUUUAUUUAUGAAACAAUCAUUUAUUAAAAUUGGUGAAGGUUUAACCGAUUUAUUCGAGAGAUAUGGAGGAACACCAGUGGCGAAGGCGACUUUCUGGUCUGUAACUGACGCUGAUGUGCGAAAGCGUGGGGAUCAAACAGGAUUAGAUACCCUGGUAGUCCACGCCGUAAACGAUGA